This 775-nucleotide ribosomal RNA is filed under the name uncultured Neocallimastigales. RNAcentral's name for it is "partial large subunit ribosomal RNA". It matches the Rfam family "Eukaryotic large subunit ribosomal RNA", at positions 22 to 635 of the family's 3401-position model. The record is from RNAcentral. Lineage: Eukaryota; Fungi; Neocallimastigomycota; Neocallimastigomycetes; Neocallimastigales.
GUACACGCUGUGACUAGCAUAUCAAUAAGCGGAGGAAAAGAAACUAACAAGGAUUCCCCUAGUAACGGCGAGUGAAGCGGGAAGAGCUCAAAUUUGAAAUCUUAAAGGGUUUCCCUUUACGAAUUGUAGUUUAAAGAAGUGUUUUCUGUUGAGGUUUUGGUAAAAGUUCUUUGGAAUAGGACAUCAUAGAGGGUGAGAAUCCCGUAUUUGACCUUUACUUUCAACUUUGUGAUACACUUUCAAAGAGUCGGAUUGCUUGGGAAUGCAGUCCAAAAUGGGUGGUAAAUUUCAUCUAAAGCUAAAUAUUGGCGAGAGACCGAUAGCGAACAAGUACCGUGAGGGAAAGAUGAAAAGAACUUUGAAAAGAGAGUUAAACAGUACGUGAAAUUGUCAAAAGGGAAGCGUUUGACACCAGUGUUGUUUUUCUGAAAAUCAAUUAAAGAACUGUUUAUGCUAAGCUGUUUAGACUUUAUCAGCUAAUCUGUUUAGUUUUGAGCUUUUCUUUAAUGCACUUUUCAGUUAACAAGUCAACAUCAAUUUCUUUUGCUGUAAAAAAGCUUGAGGAAGGUGGCUUGAGAUUCGUCUUAAGUGUUUAUAGCCUCUUGCCUAUGCAGUCGGAGAGAUUGAGGUCUGCAGCGUAGAUCCUUCGGGGCUAAAUGCAUUUGUGCUAAGUUAUAGCAUUUUAUAGACAACUUGUUGACUAUGAUUUGUCUUGUAGCUUACUCGCUUAUGUUAUUUUACCUACGCUUAGGAUGUUGAAGAUGUAGCACAUCAU